RNAcentral lists this transfer RNA (86 nucleotides) under Microcaldota archaeon. RNAcentral's name for it is "tRNA-Ser". It matches the Rfam family "tRNA". From Rfam's summary of the family: Transfer RNA (tRNA) molecules are approximately 80 nucleotides in length. Their secondary structure includes four short double-helical elements and three loops (D, anti-codon, and T loops). Lineage: Archaea; Nanobdellati; Microcaldota. The record is from RNAcentral.
GCCGGAAUCGCCUAGUGGAAGGGCGGCAGCCUGCUAAGCUGUUUGGCUAGAAAUGGCCUCUGUGGGUUCGAUUCCCACUUCCGGCG